RNAcentral lists this ribosomal RNA (585 nucleotides) under uncultured bacterium. RNAcentral describes it as "bacterial SSU rRNA". It matches the Rfam family "Bacterial small subunit ribosomal RNA", at positions 60 to 638 of the family's 1533-position model. The record is from RNAcentral.
AGUCGAGCGGUAACAGGGGUGGCUUGCUACCCGCUGACGAGCGGCCGACGGGUGAGUAAUGCAUAGGAAUCUGCCCGAUAGUGGGGGAUAACCUGGGGAAACCCAGGCUAAUACCGCAUACGUCCUACGGGAGAAAGGGGGCUUCGGCUCCCGCUAUUGGAUGAGCCUAUGUCUGGAUUAGCUAGUUGGUAAGGUAAUGGCUUACCAAGGCAACGAUCCUGUAGCUGGUCUGAGAGGAUGAUCAGCCACAUCGGGACUGAGACACGGCCCGAACUCCUACGGGAGGCAGCAGUGGGGAAUAUUGGACAAUGGGGGCAACCCUGAUCCAGCCAUGCCGCGUGUGUGAAGAAGGCCCUCGGGUUGUAAAGCACUUUCAGCGAGGAAGAACGCCUAUCGGUUAAUACCCGGUAGGAAAGACAUCACUCGCAGAAGAAGCACCGGCUAACUCCGUGCCAGCAGCCGCGGUAAAGACGGAGGGUGCAAGCCGUUAAUCGGAAUUACUGGGCGUAAAGCGCGCCGUAGGUGGCUUGAUAAGCCGGUUGUGAAAGCCCCGGGCUCAACCUGGGAACUGCAUCCGAACUGUCA